Molecule: long non-coding RNA, 343 nt
Organism: Silurus meridionalis
Lineage: Eukaryota; Metazoa; Chordata; Actinopteri; Siluriformes; Siluridae
Exons: 2
Source: RefSeq, a predicted model, not a curated record
GCGAUUCUCUUCCCGUUCCAAGCAGAAACGCACCAACAGCGUGCAGGCUGGCCGACGAGAGACGUCUCACACUGGGUUGGAGAAGCAGACAAACAUCUGAAGCCGUGCUUGUCGCAGUUGGGAAGGUAGAACGUGGUGAACUUCUCGCCCAGGGCCAACUGGGAGGCCGCGAUCGUGUCAAGGGCGGAGUGAAGUUCGGUGUGACAUGGACCCUACGACCAAACAUUGAUGAGAACAUAGAUGUUAGAUGGACACCCUAAACACUUUAUAACCCAAGUCUACACAAUACACAAUCCAAAAACUAUUUCCAUUUUAUUUUAAGAAUAAAAUGGUAUUAAAUAUU